Molecule: transfer RNA, 73 nt
Filed under: Paramecium bursaria Chlorella virus NE-JV-1
Lineage: Varidnaviria; Bamfordvirae; Nucleocytoviricota; Megaviricetes; Algavirales; Phycodnaviridae
Description: tRNA-Arg
Rfam family: tRNA
About the family: Transfer RNA (tRNA) molecules are approximately 80 nucleotides in length.
Source: RNAcentral
GGCCGCGUAGCUUAGUGGAAAAAGCGUCUCGCUUCUAACGAGAAGAUCGCGAGUUCAAAUCUCGCCGUGGUCG